AAUAGAUACCCUGGUAGUCCACGCCGUAAACGAUGUCGACUUGGAGGUUGUGCCCUUGAGGCGUGGCUUCCGGAGCUAACGCGUUAAGUCGACCGCCUGGGGAGUACGGCCGCAAGGUUAAAACUCAAAUGAAUUGACGGGGGGCCCGCACAAGCGGUGGAGCAUGUGGUUUAAUUCGAUGCAACGCGAAGAACCUUACCUACUCUUGACAUCCAGAGAACUUAGCAGAGAUGCUUUGGUGCCUUCGGGAACUCUGAGACAGGUGCUGCAUGGCUGUCGUCAGCUCGUGUUGUGAAAUGUUGGGUUAAGUCCCGCAACGAGCGCAACCCUUAUCCUUUGUUGCCAGCGGUUAGGCCGGGAACUCAAAGGAGACUGCCAGUGAUAAACUGGAGGAAGGUGGGGAUGACGUCAAGUCAUCAUGGCCCUUACGAGUAGGGCUACACACGUGCUACAAUGGCGCAUACAAAGAGAAGCGACCUCGCGAGAGCAAGCGGACCUCAUAAAGUGCGUCGUAGUCCGGAUUGGAGU
RNAcentral lists this ribosomal RNA (528 nucleotides) under uncultured bacterium. RNAcentral describes it as "bacterial SSU rRNA". It matches the Rfam family "Bacterial small subunit ribosomal RNA", at positions 777 to 1304 of the family's 1533-position model. The record is from RNAcentral.